Molecule: long non-coding RNA, 222 nt
Filed under: Elaeis guineensis (African oil palm)
Lineage: Eukaryota; Viridiplantae; Streptophyta; Magnoliopsida; Arecales; Arecaceae
Description: long non-coding RNA (EGUI_LNC015091)
Source: RNAcentral
GUUGGAUCCACUCCCAAGUGAUGAGUCAUCACCUCCGGAUCUCUGUCAAGCAUAUCUAUCACUGUCUAAGCGAAUAGGUCUGCAUUUUUCUGUAAAAGAGCAGUUAGCCGAGUUUUGGUUACCUAAUCUAUAGAUGAACCAAUUUUCACAAUUUGAUGAAGAUUUUCUUUCCUCAAAGGGACCUCCACUAGAUCCUCGAAUGGCCGAGCAUGCUCCCCAGCC